AUUAUUUUGGCAGAUUAGUGCAUUAAAUUUAGAAUUUAAAUAUGAAAAUUAAAUUUCAAAUAAUAC
RNAcentral lists this transfer RNA (66 nucleotides) under Derops uenoi. Its description in RNAcentral is "tRNA-Leu". It matches the Rfam family "tRNA". Rfam says of the family: Transfer RNA (tRNA) molecules are approximately 80 nucleotides in length. The record is from RNAcentral. Lineage: Eukaryota; Metazoa; Arthropoda; Insecta; Coleoptera; Staphylinidae.